GUGGAGGACCAGCCGAGGUGUCCGGCGGCGGGAACGGGAGGAGGGCGUGCAGGGCCUGCGGCGAGGCGGACGCGUGCGUGCUGCUGCUGCCGUGCCGGCACCUCUGCCUGUGCCGAUGCUGCGAGGCGGCCGCCGACGCCUGCCCCGUCUGCGCGGCCACCAAGAACGCCUCCCUCCAUGUCCUCCUCCCCUGACCGGACGGACUCCUGCAAGCAGCUCAACGACGUAGGUGCACUGCCCCGUUCGACCGGUCGUGCAUUCCAAGGUCGUGUCAAGAUUAAAAAAAUAAGUCUUUUUUUCUCCUCUUUUCCUUAAACCUCAAUCUGUAUUUUUUCUUUUACGGGUUGUCAAGGAACAAAUUUGUUUUUUUUUUUUGCCCGAGCAUAUUAGAUUAGUGAAGUUGUUGAAACGGUAAAUAGAAUCUGGUAGUAAUAUACAAGCUGCUCAAUAUAUCUCGACGUUUGUUUCGUCUCCGUCUGGAAAAUUUGUCAGUGUGCGUGCGUCACUCCACUCCUCGCAUUCUUCGUUUGCUGAGGUGCUGAACGUUUCCAUAAACGACGCACCUGACGCACAAUGCUUACAUCGCAAGCGUGGGAACAAAAUCAUGCACUCUUUUUCUUUUCCAUUUCGUUCUCUUAUCAAUCGCGUCGAGACCUACAGCGACGUGCUUUUUCUGGAACCAGCAAUUACCUAAUACAAUCAAACUAACACCUAGUAAUUAUAUUCCCCGAUUGACAUAGUAUAUCCUCUUCAGUUAGUAGAAAAGAAGAAUUUGAGUUUCAAAAUUUUGCGUUGUACUAUGCAUGCUGUGAGAAGUGAUGGAUUCACUCACUAAUUUCAGCUUGGAUUGACCAUCACUUGGCGGUUUCAGACUUUCAGACUU
RNAcentral lists this long non-coding RNA (883 nucleotides) under Oryza brachyantha (malo sina). RNAcentral's name for it is "long non-coding RNA (OBRA_LNC000504)". Lineage: Eukaryota; Viridiplantae; Streptophyta; Magnoliopsida; Poales; Poaceae. The record is from RNAcentral.